CCUACGGGAGGCUGCAGUGAGGAAUAUUGGUCAAUGGCCGGAAGGCUGAACCAGCCAUGCCGCGUGAAGGUCAGUGCCCUAUGGGCGUUAAACUUCUUUUGUGCGGGAGCAAUAAUGGUCACGUGUGGCCAGACGAGAGUACCGUACGAAUAAGCAUCGGCUAACUCCGUGCCAGCAGCCGCGGUUAUACGGGGGAUGCAAGCGUUAUACGGAUUUAUUGGGUUUAAAGGGUGCGUAGGCUGUGAGGUAAGUCAGCGGUGUAAUGCUCCCGCUCAACGGGGUGAAGUGCCAUUGAUACUGGCUGGCUGGAAUGCGCGUGCAGUAGGAGGAAUGUGUGGUGUAGCGGUGAAAUGCAUAGAUAUCACGCAGAACACCGGUGGCGAAGGCGGCCUGCUGGACUGCUACUGACGUUGAGGCCCGAAAGCGUGGGGAGCAAACAGGAUUAGAUACCCCAGUAGUC
RNAcentral lists this ribosomal RNA (460 nucleotides) under uncultured bacterium. RNAcentral's name for it is "partial 16S ribosomal RNA". It matches the Rfam family "Bacterial small subunit ribosomal RNA", at positions 338 to 795 of the family's 1533-position model. The record is from RNAcentral.